Molecule: ribosomal RNA, 441 nt
Filed under: Triticum aestivum (bread wheat)
Lineage: Eukaryota; Viridiplantae; Streptophyta; Magnoliopsida; Poales; Poaceae
Description: partial small subunit ribosomal RNA
Source: RNAcentral
AAAAGUGAAGCCCUCAACACCGCCACCCACACCAACCCCUGCUCUGAAGGCCAUGACUACUGGUCCGGGGUGUGUCAGUUCGAGGGCUACGGCUACGUGCCUGAGGGGUCGUCCGGCGUGUCGGUCAUGCAGAUUCACAACCAGGAGGGAGCCUCGCACUCGACGGUGCUGAUGUUGCACGUCUACGACGGCGUCCUGCGCUUCUACAGCGGGACGACGGUCGAGCCCGACAUCUACAAACGGUGGUUCCGCCUAAACGUGGUGCAUGACGUCCGGGCAUCCACAGUGGCCGUGUACGUCGACGGCGAGCACAAGUUCGGCACCAACGUGACCCCUAGCGAGUCCUACUACUUCAAGUUCGGGGUGUACAUGCAGCACCACGACCAGUCCAGCUGCAUGGAGUCACGGUGGAUGAACGUCACGCUCUACACUAAGCUAUGA